ACAGUGAAGAUAUAAAUACUUAAAGAAGACAAAACACUCAGAUGCUUAUAUAUGAUUAUAAAAGUCGGUUCGACUAAAAUUGGUUCGAUAAGUACUAGUGUCGACACCAGUGGUAUUGUGACAACACAAACCAUAUUUUGCGGUCACGAAUAUUCCUAUUAUUCAUACAAGUUCAAAUUAUUCCAUUAAAUCAAAGUCUCAUUUUCCUAUUCGUUUCAUCUUUUUUCGUUCGAGACAGUCAC
Molecule: long non-coding RNA, 242 nt
Filed under: Lathyrus oleraceus (garden pea)
Lineage: Eukaryota; Viridiplantae; Streptophyta; Magnoliopsida; Fabales; Fabaceae
Description: Pisum sativum (pea) long non-coding RNA (PSAT_LNC042033)
Source: RNAcentral